CGCACCUUGCACCCUUUGGUAUUCCGAAGGGUAUGCCUGUUUGAGUGUCAUUGUAAUCUCAACUCUACAGUCUUUGUUGACUUGUAGGGCUUGGACUUGGAGUGUGCUGGCGCAAGUCAGCUCCUCUCUAAAAGCAUUAGCAUAAGGUUGUAGACUAUUAGCGGUCGGUGUGAUAGUAUCUUCACCGGUUCAUACUGCGAAUGUCACGGCCUAGCUUCCAAUCGUCUUCACGGACAAUUAUACAAGCGCUUGACCUCAAAUCAGGUAGGACUACCCGCUGAACUUAA
Molecule: unclassified non-coding RNA, 287 nt
Filed under: Sebacinales sp.
Lineage: Eukaryota; Fungi; Basidiomycota; Agaricomycetes; Sebacinales
Description: partial contains 5.8S ribosomal RNA, internal transcribed spacer 2, and large subunit ribosomal RNA
Source: RNAcentral